This is a transfer RNA of Zancudomyces culisetae, 82 nucleotides long. It matches the Rfam family "tRNA". From Rfam's summary of the family: Transfer RNA (tRNA) molecules are approximately 80 nucleotides in length. NCBI's taxonomy places the organism in Eukaryota, Fungi, Kickxellomycota, Harpellomycetes, Harpellales, Legeriomycetaceae. The record is from Rfam.
GGUGACUUGCCCGAGUGGUCCAAGGGGUCAGGUUUAGGCCCUGAUAUGUUCGCAUGCGUGGGUUCGAACCCCACAGUCAUCA